ACAAGCAGAUCAUUUAAAACAAUUCUAAUGAUUUCUGCCUUCUAUUUCCUUUUUACAGUUUCUUUACCUGAUGCUUGAAGCAGCAUUCAAACUCUAACAGCUCCGGGCUCUUGAACACACCUCCUUGAACACAUCAUAGGGAUGCAUUCAGAGGACCUCACGGAUCACCUGCACCAUUUUGUUCACUGAACCAGCACCUUUUUUCAAGGCACUAAUAUGUGGAACGCUCUGUAUAUAACACUGUGUGUGACUUCUGUAAAAAAAGAGAAAUGUUGGGGAGGAUGGUUAAACACGCACUACAUGCAGGUUGUCACAAUGCUCCAGUUUUGAUAGCUACAUGUAGAGAGUAGGAGUUUUGAUACAUCUUUUUGAUAUUAGAUCGGUAUUUUUCACUGUGGACAUAACGCUGCAUUGCUAAACUCAUGAAGGACGGUGACAUUAUUGUGAACAAGAAGCUGAGGAUCAGUUGAGUGCUCCAUGUUCUCUCCGUCACUGAGGCAAAGUUACAAAACUGAAAAUGGGAUGUCCUUCCUUUUUUUCAAAUUAACACUUUGUUAGAUGUUAGUGUUUUACAGCAGAUUCAAGGACCUCUUCAGAUGCAGACACACAUUCCUAUUUAACCAUUGACAAGAAUGACUCAUUGAAUAACCUGCUUUACAAAAUGAGAGAGUUCUUGUGGUGGCAAUGAAUUGUAAUUGCUCAGUGACAGACAGAGGAUGGAUAGUUGUGGGUACCGAAGAGCUAAAUAUUCUCCUGAAACUUACUUAUAUAGCAUUGAAGGAAAGAAAUUGACUAAAAAUGACUUCAAUUAUUUAACAUAGGGAGUCACCAGUAGAGCAGAAAGGGAUCAGUUAAUUUAUUGAUUAUACUGAUUUUCACAUUUACCUGUGGGUUUUGAACCACUGCUUUUUUUGAUACGGUCUAAAUUAAAGUACUAAAAAUGUGUAACUAAAUGUCAGAUAUCUGAAAAAGGAUAUUAACUGAUUUAAAUCCUUUUCCAAUUUUGGACCAUUUUAUUGGUUGUUGUAUGGUUACUCAUAGACAACAUUUAAAGCUCAAAAUCAUUCUGGCUUUUUCAAGUCUUAUCUCAAUACAACUGAUACUUCUAAGGUGUCUCUAUCGCAGUUAUUGUUGCUCUUUUAUUCCUUCGUUCAAUACUGACCUUCAAAUGAUCCUUUGGUAGCGUAAACAUCCACAGUCCUCACUCCGUGUAAAAACAUGCUGUCCAGAGUUUGAAGCUAAAGCGUGUACAGUUGUUCAACAUUCAAUCAAUCAAAUAGGCAACUUUGAACCAGUAACUGAAUACAUCCCAACUCUGAAAGAAAUGCUGAUGGGCUCAUUUGGACCAGGGUUCUGAAGGUAUUUGAACCAGUUUGGAUAAAAGGAAUGAUUAUAGCAACCUAAAGCUCAACACAUGGUAUAUGGGUAUUAUGGCCUUUAGAAAUAUGAACCUUUUGGAAAAUAUUGGAAAACUUGCUAUUCUCAAAAUGAGCAGUUCAAAAUAACCUGUGUUGGUAUGUUAAGAAAAGGUAGCCUGUCCUAUCCAAUAUAAAGACGACAUUGCAAAUCUUAAGCAGCCUUUCUUCAUGAAACAUGUUUGAUCCAGUAUGACCACGAAGCGUGUGUAACCUCGCUGUCAUCAUUCCAGUGUUUAGCUGUCCAGGUUUCACAGUUCUGUGUAGAGAGCCAAGGGUAAAGUCCUCUCUGUGGUGUGGAUCUGAGCAUUUCUAAUACACUUCAUAUUUUUGAGACGGGCAUUUUGGAACAUUUUCAAUUCUGAUGUAUAGUGUAGCCCAUGAUUGUCUUUCGCUGUGUGUAUUUUUGAUCUGAUCAGUAUACACAAUAAUGAAUGAUCUAAAUCUUUAAAUGUAUUCUGGAUUGCAACUUAAUUUCAAAAUAGAUGAAGAUUUUUCUCAGUGUUCCUUUUGAUGGUUUAGGACGAUUAUUUGCUCAAAGCAUGCAUCACUUGUUUGGUUUUUCGGUAUCUUUUCAGUAUGUCAACAUUGAUAUUGUGGAAGUUGUACACUGAAAACGUGGAAGUGUUAUCUACUUUAAAAGGGAUUAAUAGUGUUUUUGAUACUAAAUAUUUAUUGUACAUUUGGUUUUAUAACAUCUCUGGUGUAUUGGACAGCAAAACCUUCAUUUCUACUGAAGCCGAUGUGUCUCAUGUGUACAUUUCACUCACCACUUCCUGUUCCACUUUACUGAUUGUUUAGAUGAUCACUGAAUUCCCCACAAACGUUGUAAUGUAACUACCUCCUCUCAUCUCCUUGUCUCAUUUCCUGUUGAAAUUGGACUGAUUUUGCCAUCAAGUAAAAUGUAUUAAGGUGACAAAAAAAAA
Long non-coding RNA from Notothenia coriiceps (black rockcod), 2341 nucleotides. RefSeq lists it as uncharacterized. The record is from RefSeq and is a predicted model, not a curated record. NCBI's taxonomy places the organism in Eukaryota, Metazoa, Chordata, Actinopteri, Perciformes, Nototheniidae. The transcript is spliced from 2 exons.